RNAcentral lists this ribosomal RNA (253 nucleotides) under uncultured bacterium. RNAcentral's name for it is "partial 16S ribosomal RNA". It matches the Rfam family "Bacterial small subunit ribosomal RNA", at positions 524 to 776 of the family's 1533-position model. The record is from RNAcentral.
UACGUAGGGGGCAAGCGUUGUCCGGAUUUAUUGGGCGUAAAGAGCGUGUAGGCGGCCAUUCAGGUCAGCUGUGAAAACUCGAGGCUCAACCUCGAGACGUCGGUUGAAACCGUUUGGCUAGAGUCCGGAAGAGGAGAGUGGAAUUCCCGGUGUAGCGGUGAAAUGCGCAGAUAUCAGGAGGAACACCGGUGGCGAAGGCGGGUCUCUGGGCCGAUAUUGACGCUGAGGAGCGAAAGCGUGGGGAGCGAACAGG